This is a ribosomal RNA of Danio rerio (zebrafish), 117 nucleotides long. NCBI's taxonomy places the organism in Eukaryota, Metazoa, Chordata, Actinopteri, Cypriniformes, Danionidae. The record is from Ensembl.
UGCCACAGCCAUAUCACCCUGCAGCCCAAGACCGGUUACUCACUGAACCUAAGCUGGGCUGAACCUGGUCAGUAACUGAAUGGGAGACUACAUAGAAAAACUAGGAUGCUGUUGGAA